RNAcentral lists this ribosomal RNA (552 nucleotides) under uncultured alga. RNAcentral describes it as "SSU rRNA". It matches the Rfam family "Eukaryotic small subunit ribosomal RNA", at positions 565 to 1125 of the family's 1831-position model. The record is from RNAcentral.
UGCCAGCAGCCGCGGUAAUUCCAGCUCCAAUAGCGUAUAUUUAAGUUGUUGCAGUUAAAAAGCUCGUAGUUGGAUUUCGGGUGGGUUGUAGUGGUCCGGUUCGCUGUGUACUGCUACGGCCUUCCUUUCUGCCGGAAACGGGCUCUUGGGCUUUACUGUCUGGGACUCGGAGUCGGCGAGGUUACUUUGAGUAAAUUAGAGUGUUCAAAGCAAGCUUACGCUCUGAAUACAUUAGCAUGGAAUAACACGAUAGGACUCUGGCCUAUCUUGUUGGUCUGUAGGACUGGAGUAAUGAUUAAGAGGGACAGUCGGGGGCAUUCGUAUUUCAUUGUCAGAGGUGAAAUUCUUGGAUUUAUGAAAGACGAACUUCUGCGAAAGCAUUUGCCAAGGAUGUUUUCAUUAAUCAAGAACGAAAGUUGGGGGCUCGAAGACGAUUAGAUACCGUCGUAGUCUCAACCAUAAACGAUGCCGACUAGGGAUUGGCAGGUGUUCUUUUGAUGACCCUGCCAGCACCUUAUGAGAAAUCAAAGUUUUUGGGUUCCGGGGGGAGUA